Molecule: long non-coding RNA, 260 nt
Filed under: Phoenix dactylifera (date palm)
Lineage: Eukaryota; Viridiplantae; Streptophyta; Magnoliopsida; Arecales; Arecaceae
Description: long non-coding RNA (PDAC_LNC004315)
Source: RNAcentral
GUAACUCCCACAUGACUAAAAACCCAAAAGACAUGUAACUUCUCACCAUACUAAUAUGCAAUUACAGAAAAUCAAACCAUAAGUUACUAAUAUUAAAAAACAAGUUUAAUAACCAACACCCCUCCUUAAAUUUGGUUUUGCAACUCCAAGCAAACUCCUUAACUUGCAAAAAGUUUCACUCUUGAGGGGCUUAGUGAAAAUAUCGGCAAUUUGAUCUUGAGACUUCAUGUACUUGAGCUUCACUUCCUUCCUAGCCAUAC